Molecule: long non-coding RNA, 1217 nt
Filed under: Sorghum bicolor (sorghum)
Lineage: Eukaryota; Viridiplantae; Streptophyta; Magnoliopsida; Poales; Poaceae
Description: long non-coding RNA (SBIC_LNC005692)
Source: RNAcentral
UCACAUGGCAUGGUAUUAAGCAAAAGGCGUAGAAUAAUCAAACACCAUGUCAUUCGUUAACCCAAUAAUAAGCUCCUGCGGGACAGUUCGACAAUAGGUCCCCAAAUUCUAGAAUUAGCACAAUCGGAUGCCUCGAGUUAUCUAAAACAUGGAUGAUCAGGUUCACAAGGGCUAAUCCCACAGAAGGAAGCAAACCACAACUCCCCCAACUGGGAACCAACAUCCAACUCCAAAUAAGAGCCGGAAAGUACCACACCAGCCACAAAAUCGGAUGCCAUGAGCAUCUAAAACAACAUGGAUGAUCAGGUCCAGAAGGGGUAAUCUCACAAAAGGAAACACAUAAAACCACAACUCCCCCAACUGGGAACCAACAUCCAACACCAAACAAGAGCAGGAAAGUACCACACCACGACCAGCCCUACACGCACAAGCACAAAAUCACCCGGAUCCAGCGCCAACCCCACAUACCUUCCAGAAAACCAAGCGCAACAAUAGUCGUUCAUUGAACCAAACAAUUUCUGAUUAGUGAUGAAGGAGGUUUCAUACUUGGCCAUGGGGGAGUCGUCAGAGGUAUGGAAAUUUCCACGGAAUAGUUACAACAAUGUAGAUAUGUAGUGACUAGAGACUACAGCAUACUUUGGGGAUAAGUCGUGAUUUCCAAGGUCAAGUCUACCACCAAAUAAUUCAACCUCACAUGGCAUGGUAUUAAGCAAAAGGCGUAGAAUAAUCAAACACCAUGUCAUUCGUUAACCCAAUAAUAAGCUCCUGCGGGACAGUUCGACAAUAGGUCCCCAAAUUCUAGAAUUAGCACAAUCGGAUGCCUCGAGUUAUCUAAAACAUGGAUGAUCAGGUUCACAAGGGCUAAUCCCACAGAAGGAAGCAAACCACAACUCCCCCAACUGGGAACCAACAUCCAACUCCAAAUAAGAGCCGGAAAGUACCACACCAGCCACAAAAUCGGAUGCCAUGAGCAUCUAAAACAACAUGGAUGAUCAGGUCCAGAAGGGGUAAUCUCACAAAAGGAAACACAUAAAACCACAACUCCCCCAACUGGGAACCAACAUCCAACACCAAACAAGAGCAGGAAAGUACCACACCACGACCAGCCCUACACGCACAAGCACAAAAUCACCCGGAUCCAGCGCCAACCCCACAUACCUUCCAGAAAACCAAGCGCAACAAUAGUCGUUCAUUGAACCAAACAAUUUCUGAUUAGU